GCCCUCGUGGUGUAGUGGUCAGCACGCUCGACGCGAAACUUUAAUGCGAAUAAAAUCGAGAGGCGCGUGGUUCGAUUCCCGGCGAAAGCG
This 90-nucleotide transfer RNA is filed under the name Stegodyphus mimosarum. It matches the Rfam family "tRNA". From Rfam's summary of the family: Transfer RNA (tRNA) molecules are approximately 80 nucleotides in length. Their secondary structure includes four short double-helical elements and three loops (D, anti-codon, and T loops). The record is from Rfam by way of RNAcentral. Lineage: Eukaryota; Metazoa; Arthropoda; Arachnida; Araneae; Eresidae.